AGCCAGAAGGUUCUGACUGAGAGGCAGUUAUCUCUCUCAAUCUUUAGAAGCCUAGGAGGAAGGGAGGUCUGGUCAAAACUUUCUCCUGAGGAGAUAUUCACCUUUUUCCUCUCCUGGAGACAGGACAUCCUCCCCCUCCACCAAUUCCCAACUGAAGUGAUAGCUGAAGAAGACAUUGAGCCUCUGUUAAACUUACCUCACAGCUCCUGGUGCCUUGGAUCUGAACUGUGCCAGUUGGGUCAAGACCAGGGCAAGAAUUUGGGGUCUAUUGAUCAAAGCAGCAAGUCCUUUAUUAUCAUAAAUUCACAUUUAUUUACAACAUAUAACAGGAAAAAAGAAAAGCUAAAAGGACAAGAAGGAAAGGUGGAGAAAAAAAGGAGAAAAUACAAAGCAUGAUUUCCUAAAUCAAGAAUGAAAGGAAGCAUACCAAAUGUUGAUGAUGCGAAAAAAAAGCAAAAAUAGUCUCUCCGCCUAAGGAUCUUAUUUCUGAUGCAAGAAGAGGACACAUGAAAGGAGCUGAAAAGCAUGCAUGUGGAAAGAGGGAGUAGAAUAGAUGGCGGCAACUACAACAUCUGGGAAUUAAUAAUAUCCAGAAGGAAUGAAGAAUGAUGAGCACUGUCUUGUCUUCAAAAUGGAUUUUCGAGGAGGAUGUCAUCAGUGGGAGAAGGAAAUCAACAAAUUGUCCAGUGACAUUCCAAGUGUAUUAAAGCUUGGAGGUGGAGUCAAGAUGGUGGCAUAAAGGCAGCAAGGGUUCAGACCUCUGAAAUCCCUUCCUUACUGAUUACAAACUCAAUGCUCCUAGGGAACUGAAAAUCAAACCUGACAACAAAACAGAGGCAAGGAACCCUCCUGCUGGAUUCAAUUUAAACGGUAUGCCCCACAAAAGCCAGAAUUCAAGAAUACAUGGAUUUAAGGGGAAGAAAAAGGAAGGUCCCAGGACCCCCCUUACCCCUCCCCACUUAGAGCCCUUAGCCUCCAGCAGCAGCUGGAAUCUCUGGGAGGGCAAAGGAGGUGGUCUAGAAGGAGUACCUUGCAGCAAACCUGUGCCAAAUUCACAGCGUCCAACACAGGUGGUGGGGAAGAAGAUAGAGAAGGAGCACAGAGUGGGCAGCCUAGUUGGAGCAGUGAAGACCCUCCAUAUUGCUACCCCCUUCCAGGAGGUUUUGGCCUCAGGGCACAUACAGCCCAACCAAGUUGGAAUUAAUCCCAUCAAAAGUCUUCAGAGGGCACUGAAGCUCAAUUACAACACCCCUCCCACAUAGACUGCUAGACUUUAAUGCAAUCAAAGCCUCAAAAGGGCAGGGAAGCAAAAGCUCCAAUACCCUUACCCUAUAGACUUCACUGAGAGACUUGCUGACAAAACUCCAAGAGGAAAGACUGACAGAAAAUCCCAACCCCCCCCAAAAAAAAUAAAAGAGAGGAGAAAGAGUACAGACAACUGUAGGGAGUAAAGAAGUGGUAAAUAUGAGCAAACACUAGAAAAAGAAAAAAAAACAAAAGAAAUUACAAUCAACAGCUUCUAUACAAACAAUGAACAAAGAGCAAAGUGAACAGAGGAGGAGGGAACACCAAGCAAUAAAACAGAAAAACCAGUGAAUUGGACACAGGCUUUGGAAGAACUCAAAAUAUAAUUCAAAACACAAUUAAGAGAGGCUGAAGACAAUUGGGAAAAGAACUUAAAAACUAAGAUAAGUCAAUUGGAAACAGAGGCACUUGAACUAAAACAAGUCAAAGCCAAAAUCAACCAGUUUGAAAAUGAAGCAAAAGAGAUGAAAGAUGAGGCACAGAGAAUGAAAAAUGACCUCCAAAGAAAAUCAAACCAGAAGGAGAAGGAUGACCAAAAAGCCAGGGAUGAAAUCCAGUCUUUAAGAACCAGAAUAUAACAACUAGAAUCAAGUGACUUCACAAGGCAGCAGGAACCUAUAAAACAAAAUCGAAAGAAUGAAAAACUUGGGGAAAAUAUUAAGCAUGUCAUUCACAAAACAGAAGAAUUAGAAAAUAGUUCCAGGAGAGACAACUUAAGAAUCAUUAGUCUACCAGAAGACCAUGACAAAAGUAAAAGCCUGGAUAUAGAUAUAGAUAUAGAUAUAGAUAUAUAGAUAUAGAUAUUGAUAUAUUGAUAUAGAUAAAUAGAUAGAUAGAUAAAUGUAUGCAUAAAUACAUAUAUGUGUAUAUAUACAUAUAUAUACAGCUAGAGCUAAAAAAAAGGUUAAUACUAAAAGAAAUGGGAAAAGAAACUGAAGGGGGUAAGUUUAUAUGUCACAAAGAAGCACAUCAUGGGAGGGGGGAGAACAUCAAUACACUGAAUGGGUAAAGAGGUUGGAGGUAGGAAAUACUCAACUUGAACAUGCAUUGAAAUUGACACAAAGAGGGAAGAACAAUCCAAUCCAUUGGGACCAUAUAGGGAAUUAGAAGGGUAACAAAUGGACUGGUG
This is a non-coding RNA of Monodelphis domestica (gray short-tailed opossum), 2434 nucleotides long. The record is from RefSeq and is a predicted model, not a curated record. Lineage: Eukaryota; Metazoa; Chordata; Mammalia; Didelphimorphia; Didelphidae.